RNAcentral lists this ribosomal RNA (77 nucleotides) under uncultured bacterium. Its description in RNAcentral is "partial 16S ribosomal RNA". The record is from RNAcentral.
UGUGUGAAAAACUCCGGUGGUACAGGAUGGGCCCGCGUUGGAUUAGGUAGUUGGUGAGGUAACGGCCCACCAAGCCG